AGUGAACGCUGGCGGUAGGCCUAACACAUGCAAGUCGAACGGCAGCACAGUAAGAGCUUGCUCUUACGGGUGGCGAGUGGCGGACGGGUGAGGAAUACAUCGGAAUCUACUUUUUCGUGGGGGAUAACGCAGGGAAACUUACGCUAAUACCGCAUACGACCUACGGGUGAAAGCAGGGGAUCUUCGGACCUUGCGUGAUUGAAUGAGCCGAUGUCGGAUUAGCUAGUUGGCGGGGUAAAGGCCCACCAAGGCGACGAUCCGUAGCUGGUCUGAGAGGAUGAUCGGCCACACUGGAACUGAGACACGGUCCAGACUCCUACGGGAGGCAGCAGUGGGGAAUAUUGGACAAUGGGCGCAAGCCUGAUCCAGCCAUACCGCGUGGGUGAAGAAGGCCUUCGGGUUGUAAAGCCCUUUUGUUGGGAAAGAAAAGCAGCAGGUUAAUACCCCGCUGUUCUGACGGUACCCAAAGAAUAAGCACCGGCUAACUUCGUG
This 492-nucleotide ribosomal RNA is filed under the name uncultured bacterium. Its description in RNAcentral is "partial 16S ribosomal RNA". It matches the Rfam family "Bacterial small subunit ribosomal RNA", at positions 29 to 507 of the family's 1533-position model. The record is from RNAcentral.